Molecule: ribosomal RNA, 245 nt
Filed under: uncultured bacterium
Lineage: Bacteria
Description: partial 16S ribosomal RNA
Rfam family: Bacterial small subunit ribosomal RNA
Source: RNAcentral
UAGGUGGCAAGCGUUGUCCGGAAUUACUGGGUGUAAAGGGAGCGUAGGCGGGGUAUCAAGUCGGAAGUGAAAAUUAUGGGCUCAACUCAUAACCUGCUUUUGAAACUGAUAUUCUUGAGUGAAGUAGAGGCAAGCGGAAUUCCUAGUGUAGCGGUGAAAUGCUUAGAUAUUAGGAGGAACACCAGUGGCGAAGGCGGCUUGCUGGGCUUUUACUGACGCUGAGGCUCGAAAGCGUGGGGAGCAAA